Molecule: long non-coding RNA, 489 nt
Organism: Arvicola amphibius (Eurasian water vole)
Lineage: Eukaryota; Metazoa; Chordata; Mammalia; Rodentia; Cricetidae
Exons: 2
Source: RefSeq, a predicted model, not a curated record
GUCUGCCUUCAUGCCACUGCGUCCCACCAUGAUGAUAGUGGACUAAACCUCUAAACUGUUUCAGGAAGUUGUCUGCAGUUUCUGCUUCAAUCUGGCUUCUACCUCUGGGUUGAUCGUGACUUUGAAAGUGAACCGGAAAUGGGAAGAAACGAUCCAGGACUUUCAGUGUACCAGUUCCCACAGCUUAUCUCUGGUCAUGAGCAUCUCAGUAGUCCCCAGGAGAAACAGGGGUCGGUUGAGAAGGGCAAGAGCUGGGCAUCGUUACAAGAGUGGCUGGUUUUCCUUUACAAUUCACUUUUGGGUUGGCGACAUCCUAGCGGAUAAAAAGCCCUUGCCACUGAGCCUAGAAACCCGAGUUCCAUCCCGGGGAUUCAUGUGGUAGGAGUGAACUGACCCUUGUAUGGGUUGCUCUUUGAACUCCAUACAUGCACCGUACAUGCACUAUAGCACAGGCUCAUACACAUAGAUAAUAAAGUAUAAUUUUAAGAA